CCUGGGCCUAUCCCCGUUUGCGGACAGGGCAAUGUGGUGUUUAGGCUUGCACCUGGGCCCGCUCGUUUACUCGAAGUCCAACUCCGAAUAUGGCAUUGGAUUUGUACCAUAGAGGGUGAUAGUCCCGUACGAGUAAACACUGGAGCAUCAGAGCGGUGCCUUAGAUGUGCUUGCCUUUGAGUCGGAUUGCUUGAGAAUGCAGUCCAAAGUGGGUGGUAAACUCCAUCCAAGGCUAAAUACUGGCGCGAAUCCGAUAGUAGACAAGUACCGUGAGGGAAAGUUGAAAAGUACUCUGAAGAGAGAGUAAAUAGUACGUGAAGCCGUCUGUAGAGAAGCUGAUGGAGUCAAGCUUCGUGCCCUGAUGAUUAGCAACAAGAUUAUGUGUUGUAUUUGCCCCUCUCAGUAGUCUAUCUGGAAAUGUUUGGAUGGAUUAACCUCUAUCACGAACCUUCUGGUCAGUGGAGUUUGUGCUGCUGAAUAAUGGGGUUUGAUCUUGUGCUCUAUCUAGGGGCAGCCAUCAUGGUUGAUAUUCUCUUGGUACGUGUUUAUUUAACUGUAUUCAUGCGGGUCAAAAGCUUGCUGAGUACAGGAUGGCAGGUGGUGGCAUCUCUGCUUGCAGUUUUGUCACUUAUAAUGGUUUAGGCCUGCCAAUAUUGACGUUCGUCAUCACCAUUGAGUAAUAUACAUUUAAAUUCA
This 696-nucleotide ribosomal RNA is filed under the name Mymarothecium viatorum. RNAcentral's name for it is "partial large subunit ribosomal RNA". It matches the Rfam family "Eukaryotic large subunit ribosomal RNA", at positions 114 to 623 of the family's 3401-position model. The record is from RNAcentral. Lineage: Eukaryota; Metazoa; Platyhelminthes; Monogenea; Dactylogyridea; Dactylogyridae.